Molecule: long non-coding RNA, 388 nt
Organism: Candoia aspera
Lineage: Eukaryota; Metazoa; Chordata; Lepidosauria; Squamata; Candoiidae
Exons: 3
Source: RefSeq, a predicted model, not a curated record
GUCAGCUGUGAGCAAAUGCUGGUUGCUCAAUCUGCUUUUAAGAAGGGAAAAAAGGGAAUGAAGUGGAAAAGAAUGCUAGAACAAGCUGUAUCAAAGGAAUGACAAAAGAACAUAUAGAAUAAAUCAUUGCUGUCCUCCUCUAAAUUCAAUUGGCAGGUUUCUGUGGCCCAUCCCAGUCCUCAACAAUGGGAUUGCCCUGUAUAUCAACCCUGUCAAUACGAUGAUCUAUUAUUUAUUCCUUCACCUGGAAGUGGCUUAUAGUUCAACAGAAACAAGCCAGACUUGUUUCAGACAUUCAACUGAAAAAAAUAUACAGCAUGAAAGGAAAAUUAAGGAAAACAAAGAACACAAUGAGAGGAAAUGUAACCAUCUUAGAUUAUGAACUCAA